This 432-nucleotide ribosomal RNA is filed under the name uncultured Actinomycetes bacterium. Its description in RNAcentral is "bacterial SSU rRNA". It matches the Rfam family "Bacterial small subunit ribosomal RNA", at positions 66 to 508 of the family's 1533-position model. The record is from RNAcentral. Lineage: Bacteria; Bacillati; Actinomycetota; Actinomycetes.
ACGAGAUCCAUGAUGUAGCAAUACAUCGGAAGAUCUAGUGGCGAACGGGUGAGGAUCACGUGAGAAACCUGCCCCAGACUCUGGGAUAACAAUUGGAAACGAUUGCUAAUACCGGAUGACGUCGGAGAACCGCAUGGUUCACUGACGAAAGAUAUUUCGGUUUGGGAGGGUCUCGCGGCCUAUCAGCUUGUUGGUGGGGUAAUGGCCUACCAAGGCAACGACGGGUAGCUGGUCUGAGAGGAUGAUCAGCCACACUGGGACUGAGACACGGCCCAGACUCCUACGGGAGGCAGCAGUGGGGAAUCUUGCGCAAUGGGCGAAACCCUGACGCAGCAACGCCGCGUGCGGGAUGAAGGCCUUCGGGCUGUAAACCGCUUUCAGCAGGAACGAAAAUGACGGUACCUGCAGAAGAAGGAGCGGCCAACUACGUGC